RNAcentral lists this non-coding RNA (73 nucleotides) under Niastella populi. RNAcentral's name for it is "Fluoride sequence". It matches the Rfam family "Fluoride riboswitch aptamer (crcB RNA motif)". The record is from Rfam by way of RNAcentral. Lineage: Bacteria; Pseudomonadati; Bacteroidota; Chitinophagia; Chitinophagales; Chitinophagaceae.
ACUCACAAAGGAAAUGGUGUCUUCCUAUUUGAACCGUCCGAUACACUUCGCGACUGAUGGCGCCUGCAAAUAG